AAUAUUGUUUUAUUUUUAUUUUAUGAUGGAUACAACUUUGUAGUCAACUUGUUACAAUUUACUUAAAUUGGUGAAUAGGGGUCUGACAAACAUACACACCCUUCAACUACAGCAGAUAUGCUUCUACCACUAUUAAAUAUUGAGGUUUCCCCAUAUGACAAGUAUUUUUCAAUUGAAAAGAUAUGGAUCCUGAUGUUAAAAUUGAGUUUGAAACCACAAGACUAAAUUAUCUGGACUCUUAGGAGAACUGUAAUUUUAUCUCAUUAUUCUGUCCAUUUUUAUUAUAUUACCCUGUUUUAUUAUCUUCAUAGCUCUUCAUUGUGAUUAUCAUGUACAUGUGUCUACUAGUUUGUUACAUGUGGUCUUGACUAAAAUAUAAGUUCACUGAGUACAGGGACCUCAUCUUUUCAUCCCAGCACCCUUAUCACCUAGAAUGAUACCAGGCACAUAGUACACACUUACUAAAUAUUUACUGAAUAGGUGAAUGAAUGAAGCUUUUACUUAUCAUCCAUCCAUUCAUCUGUAUAUCUACUUAACCAUCAUGUACCUAUGCAUCUAUCAUAUGCAGCUCACCAUGAUUACUGUUGUUUGUUUCGUUAUCUACUUGAAAGACUAAGAUUUACAUAUAGAGAUAUUUAUAUUCUGUGAAAUAACAUUCUGUAGGAAGAGUCUUCAGGUGAAAGCCCACAGACCCAACAAACUGGUGACUGAAGGAGUCAUCUUUCAACUCAUGUCCUCGGUUGUACCAGGCAGUAAUGACAAGAAGACAGCCAGCAAAGAAAAUGACCUGGAGCAGGCACCGCUGGGAACUUGUUUCAUCAGUCUUAUUAUGCUUUGCGUUGACUUCAUAUUUUAAUAACCUAUUCCCAAAUACCUUACUAACACAGCGUAAAUCGCCCCUUUGUACAAGACGGUACAUACUUGAUGCCCAAUAAUAACUUCUUUGUUCCGCUCUCCCCCUGCCCAGUACAGUUCCAUUUAUUAUCUAACCUUACUUGGGCAUUUUCAGCAAUCUUUUCUAUUUCCUCCACACACAUUUUCUAAAAAGCCAGCUGUGCAAUUUAGACCAUCCCAGGAGAUUAUUGACCAGUUGGGUUUGCACUUAUGAGCACAUAACCGAAGCUGACACGGCCUUUAUCAGAAUUAAUAGCUCUUGGAACAACUUGCUUUCACAGCAUUUUACAAACAGCUUCAUAAUACAUCUAAGGGCCAGCCAGGUUUUAAUUAGUGUCACUAAUAGCUAAGUAUUCGGAGGUGAAGUAAUUAAGUGUCUGGACCAAGAGGAGUAAGAGGUAGAAGGUGAACUUGGAGCCUGUGCCAGUUCAAGUUGGUGGAAGUCUCCACCUGUCAUUGGGGUAAUACUGGAGAGCUGUUCUCUGCUAAGAAGAGGCUUCUGUUAGUUCUGAUCAGGAAUUACUGCCAGCAAACUCGGUUUGCACGUGGGCAACCACAUUUUGAAACAUCCAGGGCUUCCCUCUUCCCACUCUCUCUCUGGUUUCUCCUUUUUUUUAAAUUUUGGUUGCCCUAUUUUACAAGCAAAGCAGCUGUCUGUGUGGGGAAGAGGUGCACCAUUCAGAUUCAUGGUUUACAGUUUGCUAAAUGUAAGCCUGUCUAAUCCUUUCAUAUCAUUGGAUUACUCUCCCCAAGCAAAUUUUCCCAGCUUUCAUCAUGAGAAUGGGCUCCCUGCCAAGAAACCACUCAUCCCAGCUCAGGUCCACCUGGCCUUUCCCAAUUGUCAACUCCUCCAUCUUAGGCCAUUAAAAGGGCUUUCAAAUGAAUAUUUGCACAACCAUUUCUGAAAGCCAAACACAAAAUCUUUGUUCCACAGAGUCACUAAUCUCUAUUCAGGAUUCUAGUGUGAAUUAUCAUCAGGAAAAGAAAGAAAGAAAACCUUUGAUCACUGGGUCAAGUUUUCGCCUAAUAUCAUUUAAUCAGAUAAUAAUAAAUUUAUUUAAAGUUUAAACAAUAAUCAAGGUCAGGUGAGAGGAUUUAGAGAAGAAAACAUACCUAUUAACAUUAGGUGGCUGCAUUGGGGAGGUAGACUAAGAAAGCCAUCCUAAAAUUCCUAAACGCUCCAUAAAUGCUGUAUCAAUUAAACUUUUAAUGGAUUUAAAAAAAUAUAUUCAUGGUUAUUUGCUACCUAAUUCCCUCCGCAGGUCUGAAGAAGGAGACCUUCUUGGGUUUCAAAGGGAAAGGAUUCUUUGUGACUGCAAAACAGAACAAGGGGUUUGAUUCACACACACACUCCUCUGUCAAUCAUAUCUGAAAUUUUGAACAUGUGUAAACUCUCUCACAGAGCCACACGAUAGCACCUUGCCAUUUGAUCACUGAUUUUGAUCCUUCCUGUGCUUAAACUUUAACAACUGUAAGUAAGCAAUUGGGGGAGGGGAAAGGGCUGAUAGAUCCCCUUCUCAACUCAGGUACUCAUGGGAUUUUAGGAUUUAAGAGCCACAUUCAUCGUGCAGGCAAACACCCAGGCAUCCACCUUGAACACUAAAUCUGGUUAAACUGUUAUGAAAAAAGUACUUCUGUAUAUUUCCCACUUUUUACAUAAAACUUUCCAGAGUCUGAGUGAAUUCAGCAUCCAAAACACUCAAUAGUGUAUACUCAGGAAUUCCUAUUGUAUGCUCUACUAGCCCCUCUGAGCAAAGCCCAACUAGCAUCCCUAAGAACGUGGGUUCUUUGGUCCCUGGCCUCACUCAGCGGGUUAAGGAUCCUGCGUUGCCAUGACCUGUGGUGUAGGCUGCAGAGGAGGGCUCAGAUCCAGAGUUGCUAUGGCUGUGGUGUACGCCGGCAGCUGCAGCUCUAAUUCAAUCCCUAGCCUGGGAACUUCCAUAUGCCGUAUGUGUGGCCCUGAAAAGAAAAGGAAAAAAAAAAAAAAAAAAAGCCUACACUCAAGAGCAAUGUGCUGGGUGAGCUUCUACUAUGCUAAUUGUAUUGAUUUACUUGAGCCCAAGCAGUCAAAAGUAGGAAGACAGGAAAAUGCAUCUUGCGGCCCAGGGUCUCCUUUCCAUAUUCUCUAGCCUUUCCAUUGCUUUCCAGAGCUCCUGUAGCCAGAGGGGAUUGGGGAGCAGUCAGGGAGGUGGGCAGGCGGCCACCUUAUCCAAACAUGGUAAUGAUAUUAGGCAGCUCAGAUCCUUUCACAUUCCCUUUCCUCCAAUCUUCCAGGUGACAGGGAGCAGGAAAGUCUUGCAACCCACACUGCAAAGAGGGCACCUCUGGUUUAAAUAAAGUAGUCCUUAUGAGCAUGGAAAUUUGAAGAGAAGAACUAGAAAAUGCCUUGCUAUAUGGUUGACUGACAAUACAUUUUUUUAGAAUUUAAUUUAAUUUAAUUUUUAUAGCCACAUCCAUGGCAUAUGGAAGUUCCUGGGCCAGGCCAGAUCUUUUAACCCACUGUACUGGGCCGGGGAUUGAACUUGCACCUCUGCAGAACCCUGAGCCACUGCAGUCAGAUUCUUAACCCACUGCACCACAGCGGGAUCUCCAAUACAUUUUUAUUUUAAAGUAAAUUCCUUCAAGGCAAAGGACCAUAUUUUCUAUGAGGAAUAGAGGGUGACAUCUCACAAACAGGAGGUGAUGAUAAGAAACUCAACGGGAACUCAGCUCCCAUUCAUAGAAGUCUGUUUGCUGUGAUAUGUACGCACCCUCCCAAGUUUCACUUUGCAUUUAUGGUUCAUCAGACCCUCAGAUUCAAGGUUGAAAGUCAAAGUGAAACCCCACAGGAAGAAAACCACACUGAUUUUUACCUGCUUUAAUGUCAGUGUUUUGAGAAACUAACAUGAAAUCAGUCCAGUUCACUCUACACUCACCGGUGCUUUGGGGUAUAUAAAAUAUCUCUGGUAAAGUGUCGGCAAAUAUGACUUGCCUCAAAAAUGUUCACCAAUGACAGGGGUUUUGAGUAAAACCAAAGACUUCACAUUGAUCUUUAAAUAUUUUUAAAGACCUUUUCUUAAACAUCUCAAUUCAGUCAAAUAUUUAAUGGUUGAAAGAUUUAAUACAAGGCACUUCUAAAUUUUGACCUGUGGUAAGCUUUAUGAAAACCUGAAGCCCUCAAAAUAUAUGUCAAAAGUCACCAUGAAAAUUUCUCCGUUAAGAUGCAUAUAAUAACACUAUCGAACCAAAGAGAGAAAAAGAGAAAGAGCUAAAAGAGAAAGAACUCAAAGAGUGAGGGCAAACUGGAAGGAAAGACGAAGAAAACUGGAGGGGAAAAAUGAUCCAAAGAUGAAUUUCUUUUUCAUCCAUUUCUGGAACAGGUAGAAUUUUUACUAGAAGAUGCCUGAUCUGAAAUGCUCAGAUCGUCCUGGAGUUGAGUUUAGUCAGCUCUGUUCACCUGUGGCCAUCUUCAUCAUAUCUGGACAGCAUUCUGGGUGCUUUUCCAUCUGUCUCUCUGAAAGGAUAUAACAGGGCCAGCCCAGUUUCUGUAAGGCCUCGGGGAGGCUAAGAGUCAAAGGAAGAAGUAGGAAGGAAGCCAAGAUCCUACUGCUGGCAAUGUGCAAACAGCAGAGCUGGAGUGGCUGAGUCAAGGACCUGUCACGGUCAUAGAGCCAGAGCUGGUCAGGUAGGAGCAGGUCGGCAGGACAGAGAAGGGAGGAGUUAGAGGAAAUUCCUAGAAAACUGUCUAAUGGGAAAACUUGGAAGCUUUAUUAUCCUCCUUUUUAAAAAGUAAAUGAUAACCCUUGGCUUUAGUUUGCUGUCUCCACUGAUAAAAUUCAAAGGGCUCCAAGUGGGAAUUUCUUAGAGAUAAGAAGAAACAGGGCUUGCUUACCCCACUAUACUGCAUGCCCAGUUACUCAUCUGCACCCCAACUGGUAGUGAUUUCUUGUGGGCAGUGGUUUCUGUGUCUCCGUCCUUAAGGCCUAGUUCAGUGCCUCGAGUUAGGUGGACAUUCAGUAAAAGAAUUCAACUCAGCAACUAAGUGGACAGAGGGUCAUGGAUAGAUACUACUUGGCACUUUCAAUAUGGACUGUCUUAGAAUGUUUUUGAGGCAUUUGUCCCCAGGGUCAACUAAAUAUUAUCACUCUCUAGGAAUCCUCAUGAGUACUACACUCAUACUCAGCUCACGUUCUCUAGAAUCAAAGAGGCUGCUUCCUUUCUGGAAACACACAAGGAAGAAUCUUAUAGGCAGCCCAUCUUCCUGCCUUUUUGCCUGUAAACAAAGUCUCUCUUUGCCUCAAGACUAUAGUAUGUGUUUCCAAGCUGCAAAGAAACCGUUGAAAAUUAAACCACAGAACAGCAUUUUAAUGAGAACAUGAUUACCUAACACCCCAGUGUGGUUUCAGAUGGCCUUGUGCCAACCUUCCAAAACACUACCAGAAGCACAGAGUGAAGAAAAAAAAAGUGACUAGCUCCCCUUAGUGAAGGUAGCUUUCUUGGAGGGCUUUCAGAAAGAUCUCUCUAGAAGGACAUGGGUUAUUGUUGUCUGCAGUUAACAAAACUUUCUUCCUGUUUUGAAAAGUUUGAGAGAGAGAAAGGGGGGCCACCCUUGAAUUAGUACAUGAUGUCCUGAACUAGGUGUUUUUAGCACCAAAGCUCUGCUGUACGUGUCUGUACCCAGUACUGUCUAUUUCAUCAGCUUACCUUCUGCGCACCCACUUGCUAUUUCUGUAGCCUAGGUUACAAGACCGCAGGUGUUGAUGCUCUACUAGCCCCUCUGAGCAAAGCCCAAGCGAGAAUUGUUCCUCCCUGGUUGGCAGCGUGUGCUGAGCACGUCUGGUCUUGGGCACAGAGGAUGGAGACCCCAGGCUCAGGCCGGGGUCAUUUCUCAGGGACAUCCUUUCCUUGUUCUCCACCAGCCUAGCACUUAAGCACUUGGGGUUGCGUUUUCAUUUCCACGUUGGGUUUCCUGACUUAACCCCUGAACUGUCUUCUGCAGUUGUCUUCCCACCAGCUCAACGACAACCAGAUGGCCCCUUGAGGCCACAGGAAAAGGCAGAUCACAGAGCUGGAGGACACUGUGCUGGGAUCCCUUCAUUCCAGAGAUGAAGAAAUCAAGCCCCAGAAGAAACAAAGAGAUUCAUCCCGAAGGAUGAAGAACGAAGUCUGUUGCCCUAGAUGAACUGUCUUGGAUUCCUUUCAGUAAUAUAGUAACUUGUAACUUAAACAACCACUUGCACCCAACUUGGUGGGGACAGAGCAGGCAUAAUCUAUGCUACUUCCUUUCCUUGCAAAGUAGUCAGCACUGUGCUAAGCCUUGAGAAGGAUAAGUGGAAAAGUACCACAGACUCUUGCCCUCAAAAAGUUAUAAAACCUUGAAGGUAACAACACAUGCACCUUAGGCAUAGAAACAAUACAAAUAAAUGCAAAGCGGGGUGCAAGAAGAUGCUUAAUGGCAUAGUACAAUGAAAAGUGACAUGUUCUCCCUCUUUAUUCCUUUCACUCAAUUAACUUACUGGUUUUGUCUUCAUUUUGAGAUCACCUCUUUCAGGAAGCCUUCCCUGGUUUGAUGCAGGUUGGACUCUUAAGUGCCUGUGCACUUGUCUGGGUCCCCAAGAACCUCUGAGGAUAGGUUCCCGGUCAGCCUUGGGUAUCCCCACAUUUAGUGCCUGAAUCAGAGCCAGUGCUUAGUAAACAUUUGGGGAAGAAAGAAGCUCCGUGUCAACUGAGAACCUUUUAGUCAUCAAGUGGGAUUGGAGAUGGGCUCCAAAAGAAUUUGAAUCAAAGCAGAAGGGGGUCCAGAAAUAAGGGGAUAAUACCUCCCCCAUAGAAAUGUCACCACAAGCAGUGCUGGUGAGAAGUCAGUGAGGAGCCUCCCUAUGAAUGAAGUAGUCAUCUUUGAUGAAUAGGAUCAGGAAAGUGCUGUUGGUAUGUCAGAUGAAGCCGGACUUGGACAUCAGGGAGGCUAAGUGGAUGAUGGCAGGGUAUGAUGAAGGACGAUGGGAUGCCCUUUAAAAAAAGAGAAUUAGAUAAAACUCAAACCAGGAGAAAGCUGCAAACAGCAAACCACUCAAUUCAGUUUUAGAAUCUGAUUUUGAGAAGCAUCUUCCUACACUUGCAAAGAGCUUUCAGGUUUCCCUUUGGUAGCUGGAUUUUUUCCCCCUUCUCAAUGUUGACAUGGACCAGGGAGCCAGUCUGAUGACCCUCAGCACUUGAACGCAACACAGAAGCCCAGAUAGAACUUCAUGACAGUGUCCAGGCAAGCCUUCCCCUUUCUGGAACUGAGGCUGGGCUGCAGGGCAGGCAGAGAGAGAAAGAAGGUGCUGGCGAGAU
This 7206-nucleotide long non-coding RNA is filed under the name Sus scrofa (pig). RNAcentral's name for it is "lncRNA (ENSSSCG00065007926.1)". Lineage: Eukaryota; Metazoa; Chordata; Mammalia; Artiodactyla; Suidae. The record is from RNAcentral.